GAGGAUGUCUUAAACAAUAUUAAA
This 24-nucleotide non-coding RNA is filed under the name Arabidopsis thaliana (thale cress). The record is from RNAcentral. Lineage: Eukaryota; Viridiplantae; Streptophyta; Magnoliopsida; Brassicales; Brassicaceae.